RNAcentral lists this transfer RNA (73 nucleotides) under Bacteroidaceae bacterium. Its description in RNAcentral is "tRNA-Thr". It matches the Rfam family "tRNA". From Rfam's summary of the family: Transfer RNA (tRNA) molecules are approximately 80 nucleotides in length. Their secondary structure includes four short double-helical elements and three loops (D, anti-codon, and T loops). Further hydrogen bonds mediate the characteristic L-shaped molecular structure. tRNAs have two regions of fundamental functional importance: the anti-codon, which is responsible for specific mRNA codon recognition, and the 3' end, to which the tRNAs corresponding amino acid is attached (by aminoacyl-tRNA synthetases). tRNAs cope with the degeneracy of the genetic code in two manners: having more than one tRNA (with a specific anti-codon) for a particular amino acid; and 'wobble' base-pairing, i.e. permitting non-standard base-pairing at the 3rd anti-codon position. Lineage: Bacteria; Pseudomonadati; Bacteroidota; Bacteroidia; Bacteroidales; Bacteroidaceae. The record is from RNAcentral. RNAcentral also lists the same sequence under 1 other name.
GCCGAAUUAGCUCAGCCGGUAGAGCGACGCAUUCGUAAUGCGUAGGUCGUCAGUUCGAGUCUGACAUUCGGCU